GGAGAGAAUGUGCCUUAACUUAAAAGGAGAUUGGGAGGAUUCUUCAAAAGAUGGCUUCCAUUCCAGCUUCUCAAAUGAUUCCUGAAUACUUGUUGGUUGAAACUAUGUUGUGUUGGACAUUUCUAAGAACCAAAAGGUUAAAUAAGAUCUUUGUCCAGAGAUUGUCUAAUACACCUCAAUUUGUAAAUACAACUAGUUAAAAUGUUCUCCUGGUAAAAAGUUGAUUGCAUGAGAAGAUUCUGUCAUCUUCCAUUUAGCGCUGUUUAUUGCUUCCACCCCAAUCGUGACUCCACUGACAGACACUACAGCGAGAAAGUGUCUCAGAAAACCAUUUCCAUAACUUUAAAAGCACCAUGUAUGUAAUAUCCAAAUAUUAAUCUAUUUGUGUCUUUAUUUGUUUAAUUUAUUGGACAGGAUGUCAAAAAGCAUUAAAGAUAACAAUGACAGUGAUAACCGUAAUAAUCAUGGAAGAUAAUCGUAUUACAAUUUUAGAUGUUAUGGCUGGGUCGAAGCACAACUAGCUGAGGACGACAUAAUGCAUGGCUAGAUUCGCACAGUUGUUCUCACCUGAUCCACUGCUGUUAGAUGCCCAGUGGGCAUGUUGCACAAGGAGCGGCUCAUGAGCGGUGGGUACUAGUUUGCACAGAUUGGGGAGGGUGGGUAGCAUUUUUGUGCAGCUUGGGCAGGGGAACUAUGUCUUAUAAGGGGUUGUUUGGAGAGCCUUGUCAGGUAUUGCUGUGCCAUUCUGUGUACCUAAGGAAUUUAUAGCCAUCUACAUCUUUGACUGCCUCAGCUGGUUAUGUUUCACGGAUCAAGGAGAUGUUCUGGAGCGCAGAUGUCAGAGGUUGUGGUGGGAAGUAAGGGGAUUUUUGGAUUAUGGGCCAUUGUCUAUGCUUCUCAGGUUAAAUAAUCAAGGCAGUCCAUGUCCAUUUUUGUUGUUUGGUUUAAGCUCAAAUUUUGCCUUCUGUGUAAUCAAAGCUUUAUUGUACUGAGAGUACACCUACCGAAUAUAUAUUAUGAGUUUUGAAGAUGAAAUCAAAAAGCCAACUACCCAUGUGACCACAACACCCUCAUUUUUGUUCUGCCUAAUAAUUGUACAUUCUUUUCUAGUGUAAAAAACAAUGGCAAAAUGUAUUUUUUUUAAUGCAUGUUUUAACAUUCUAGAACGGUGAGUGGUGUAUUGUCUCAGAAUGAGGCCAAGACAUAACUGAAUUGUGGGAUGGAGACAUCAAGUCUGAGGUCUUCAAGUCAAGGAUGCAUUCCAUAACUUCCUCUUAAUAGCUGUUAGAACGAACAGAUGCAGGUAGAUGGAAAAGAGGCGGUUUCUUAAGUCUUAAAGGACUUUUCACUUUUUCUCUACCCAGAAUGUGCAGGGAAGAAAGUAUGUUGGGCUUCACAAAGCCAUCAAGCUGAUAGCAGUUCUGUGAUUGUAACAAAAAAAAAGCACUUUGCAAAAGGCCAUCCAGAAUAUUGUGUGCUGUCUCCUUUGAUUAUUACUGUUAUUGUUUUUUCAUCUUGUUAAUGCAAUUUUUUUUUUUUAUCUCAUUGUGGAUGUAAUGAUUUAUUUAAAUGCAAAAACUACAUGAAAAGAAAAGAAACUUGAACAUGCGAUAUAUUUGGGUUGAAGUCCAUUUGAACUGCCGCCCCGUACCACACACAUCUCUGGAAAAAAAUACAGACAAAACAAGGAAUGGCAUAUGUUCAAGUUGUCAUACAUGUUUUCUUUUAACAGUUUUGCACCUUUAAACCCAAAUCUCAUUACAAAGGACUUUACAUUUGCUUAAAGGACAUUUCUUCCUGGGUUUCCAUUGUUCUGCAAUGUGCUUCAUAGACAGUUUUUAAGAGUAGAUCUAGAUUAUUGGUAUUGUUAGAGCUUAACUAUCCCAAACAAUGCCCACUAAACAGCUGCAGAUACGCAACUUGCAACCCUGUCCAAGACAGUCAGGUUUGGACCAUUAUAAAACUUUCCUGCAUAUGGACAAUAUAUGAUAUCUCUAAUUACUUUCCUUCUAUGUUGUUAGACAGUAAAAUAUAUUUUCCAUAUUGUUUUUGCAUAAAGUUUAAGAGUUUAUAAGGGACUUGUUAUAUACUCUGUUCAAAGCUGAUCUCUUGUACGUUUCACACUUCUUGCAUCAAAUCUGUACUCUUAAUUCAUUAUGUGGUUAAUCAGCUGAAUGGACACAAGUUCUGCACAGAAAACAAUAAUUCAUUUUCAGGCUUUGGGGGCACUUUUUUUAGCACUUAUGUUGACUUUGGGGCGGCAGAAAACUCCCAGUGUCUCAGGCUUGGACCGCAGAAACCCUUUUUUUGUUUUGUUAAUUCAAUCCUGUUCCUUUCCAUUGUCUGUCAGUGUGUGUUGAAGCUAUUGAGAUGUACAGGAGAAUUUGGGAGAAUUUGCACUUUUGGCGAUGAAAAGAAUUUGUAUUGUAUAUGAGACCACUAAAUCUACAUCGUCUAAAUCAAACAAUUCCAUGUUGUUUUCCUUUUUCAUUUUAUUCUUUUUCUUUUUUGUUUUGUUUUAUUUUUACGAAAUAUAUCCAAAAAUGUCUGACGUUUAAGAAAUAAGACAUUUCUAUUAAAAACAGAAUGUUUACGACC
This is a long non-coding RNA of Cyprinus carpio carpio, 2598 nucleotides long. NCBI's taxonomy places the organism in Eukaryota, Metazoa, Chordata, Actinopteri, Cypriniformes, Cyprinidae. The record is from Ensembl.